This 50-nucleotide microRNA precursor is filed under the name Ciona intestinalis (vase tunicate). Its description in RNAcentral is "microRNA cin-mir-4134 precursor". Lineage: Eukaryota; Metazoa; Chordata; Ascidiacea; Phlebobranchia; Cionidae. The record is from miRBase by way of RNAcentral.
UAAAAACAGGCAGUGUAAAUAUGUUAUGUGUAUUUACAGUGAAUGUUUUA